RNAcentral lists this ribosomal RNA (442 nucleotides) under uncultured bacterium. RNAcentral describes it as "partial 16S ribosomal RNA". It matches the Rfam family "Bacterial small subunit ribosomal RNA", at positions 338 to 795 of the family's 1533-position model. The record is from RNAcentral.
CCUACGGGUGGCAGCAGUGGGGAAUAUUGGGCAAUGGGCGCAAGCCUGACCCAGCAACGCCGCGUGAAGGAAGAAGGCUUUCGGGUUGUUAACUUCCUUUAAGAGGGAAGUGCAGAAUACGGUACCUCUUGAAUAAGCCACGGCUAACUACGUGCCAGCAGCCGCGGUCAUACGUAGGGGGCAAGCGUUAUCCGGAUUUACUGGGUGUAAAGGGGGCGCAGACGGCGAUGCAAGCCAGGAGUGAAAGCCCGGGGCCCAACCCCGGUACUGCACUUGGAACUGCGUGGCUGGAGUGCAGGAGAGGCAGGCGGAAUUCGUGGUGUAGCGGUGAAAUGCGUAGAUAUCAGGAGGAACACCGGUGGCGAAGGCGGCCUGCUGGACUGCAACUGACGUUGAGGCCCGAAAGCGUGGGGAGCAAACAGGAUUAGAUACCCGGGUAGUC